CUCCUCAUCGAUAGUAUAUUGCAAACUAAGUUACAUUGUCGCACUCAUCAACAAAUUCGGCCAUCACUUCCGGUGCAAACAGCGUGAGAAAGAAGACCUGCGAAGGAAUUUCUCGCAGAUAAACAAUAAGGCUAGCUUUACUAGACGUUGCCAUGUCUGCACAUGCAACACAUGACCAGAACAAGGAAAGAAGGCAGCUAGGAGACUACAGACAUGCCUUCUUAUCAGACAACCAGUUUGUCAAAUUUUGGCUUCAAGGUCCCGAUGUAUAAUUAAGAUAUCUUAUUAUGUAGUGCUCCUUAAAGUGGAUGCAUACAAGUGGCGCAAACUUUGCCAUGCACCUUUAGAGACUUUGUAGCCUGACAAGAAAUUGGGCCAAUUCUCAA
Lolium rigidum is the source of this 386-nucleotide long non-coding RNA. RefSeq lists it as uncharacterized. The record is from RefSeq and is a predicted model, not a curated record. NCBI's taxonomy places the organism in Eukaryota, Viridiplantae, Streptophyta, Magnoliopsida, Poales, Poaceae. The transcript is spliced from 2 exons.